UCAAGCAAUGGAACACAAAAAGGCCCAAUUUCUUCUAAAAACAAAAGAAAUCAAUCUGCUCACACAAAAAUGUGUGGAUAACAUUGUAGAAGAUUCCACUGAACUUGUCCACGGAACAGUCAAAGCAAUUAAACACGCAACCCAGACGAAUUAAACUUGGACACAGAGUUGUGAAAAGACGUUCAAGGACUGUGUACAAAGAGGUUAUUAAAGAUGACGAAAUCAUGUACAUACCACUGCUGAAAUCCUUGGAAAAAAUGCUCAAUGUAAAAGGAGUACUUGAACAGCUAAACCAUGGUCAUCUUCGGCAACAUAAACAUGAC
Molecule: long non-coding RNA, 323 nt
Organism: Xenia sp. Carnegie-2017
Lineage: Eukaryota; Metazoa; Cnidaria; Anthozoa; Malacalcyonacea; Xeniidae
Exons: 3
Source: RefSeq, a predicted model, not a curated record